Molecule: non-coding RNA, 245 nt
Organism: Pelobates cultripes (western spadefoot toad)
Lineage: Eukaryota; Metazoa; Chordata; Amphibia; Anura; Pelobatidae
Source: the annotation of a GenBank genome assembly
GAAGACUUAUACACACCCAUGGUAGAGGCGUUCAACGCGAUACGAGAAGGGAACCACAUCCCCAGACAAGCCCUAACAGCCCACAUCACUAUUAUCCCCAAGGACGGCAAAGAUAGGGAACAAUGCGGAAACUACAGACCGAUAUCACUAAUAAAUUGCGACAUUAAACUACUGGCCAAAAUCCUUGCAACCCGACUUACAAAACAUAUCCCUUCACUGGUCCACCCAGACCAGGUAGGGUUCGU